This 157-nucleotide ribosomal RNA is filed under the name uncultured Methanocorpusculum sp. Its description in RNAcentral is "partial 16S ribosomal RNA". It matches the Rfam family "Archaeal small subunit ribosomal RNA", at positions 315 to 476 of the family's 1478-position model. The record is from RNAcentral. Lineage: Archaea; Methanobacteriati; Methanobacteriota; Methanomicrobia; Methanomicrobiales; Methanocorpusculaceae.
UCCAGGCCCUACGGGGCGCAGCAGGCGCGCAAACUUUACAAUGCGAGCAAUCGUGAUAAGGAAACCCUGAGUGCCUGUCGAUGCAGGCUGUUCAUAUAUCUAAAUCAUAUGUGAAGAAAGGGCAGGGCAAGACCGGUGCCAGCAGCCGCGGUAAAAU